This 69-nucleotide transfer RNA is filed under the name Ictidomys tridecemlineatus (thirteen-lined ground squirrel). RNAcentral describes it as "Spermophilus tridecemlineatus (thirteen-lined ground squirrel) tRNA". It matches the Rfam family "tRNA". From Rfam's summary of the family: Transfer RNA (tRNA) molecules are approximately 80 nucleotides in length. Their secondary structure includes four short double-helical elements and three loops (D, anti-codon, and T loops). Lineage: Eukaryota; Metazoa; Chordata; Mammalia; Rodentia; Sciuridae. The record is from Rfam by way of RNAcentral.
GGGUUUGUGGCUCAGUGAUAGAGCGCUCACCUCACAUGUGUGAGGUCCUGGGUUUGAUCCUCAGUACCA